RNAcentral lists this ribosomal RNA (469 nucleotides) under Ralstonia mannitolilytica. RNAcentral describes it as "bacterial SSU rRNA". It matches the Rfam family "Bacterial small subunit ribosomal RNA", at positions 47 to 505 of the family's 1533-position model. The record is from RNAcentral. Lineage: Bacteria; Pseudomonadati; Pseudomonadota; Betaproteobacteria; Burkholderiales; Burkholderiaceae.
CCUUACACAUGCAAGUCGAACGGCAGCGGGGGAAAGCUUGCUUUCCUGCCGGCGAGUGGCGAACGGGUGAGUAAUACAUCGGAACGUGCCCUGUAGUGGGGGAUAACUAGUCGAAAGAUUAGCUAAUACCGCAUACGACCUGAGGGUGAAAGUGGGGGACCGCAAGGCCUCAUGCUAUAGGAGCGGCCGAUGUCUGAUUAGCUAGUUGGUGGGGUAAAGGCCUACCAAGGCGACGAUCAGUAGCUGGUCUGAGAGGACGAUCAGCCACACUGGGACUGAGACACGGCCCAGACUCCUACGGGAGGCAGCAGUGGGGAAUUUUGGACAAUGGGCGAAAGCCUGAUCCAGCAAUGCCGCGUGUGUGAAGAAGGCCUUCGGGUUGUAAAGCACUUUUGUCCGGAAAGAAAUGGCUCUGGUUAAUACCCGGAGUUGAUGACGGUACCGGAAGAAUAAGGACCGGCUAACUACG